This 24-nucleotide non-coding RNA is filed under the name Mus musculus (house mouse). The record is from RNAcentral. Lineage: Eukaryota; Metazoa; Chordata; Mammalia; Rodentia; Muridae.
AGUCUCGGGAAUAGCGCGCACCCA